CACGCCACCCCUGCUCCUUCCUGCCUCUGUCACAGCGCUCUGCGCGGCCCACCCCCGCCUCCCGCCCGCCGCCCGGCCGCGGCGCAGGCUCCGCGCUCGCCUCCUCUCCGCCCGCUGCCUCGGCGCCCCGCAGUCCCCGGCGCCGCUUACAGCCCCGCCGCCGCGCCACGCCGCCCCGCCCCGCCUAGCCUCGACCGGCGUUCCCGAUGGCGAUCACACCAGGGCUCCCCACCCCCACCCUCUCCUCCGCCGGCCUUGUGGCCGUUAGGACAGCCGGGCCCGUGACGCACGGACGCGGCGCGAGCGUCCGGCCCAGGAACCCCGGCUCUAGGCCCUGCCGGCACCCGCCCUCGCCCCAGGGCCUCUCCUGAGUCCCUCCGGGACUGCCCGGAUCUGCCGGCGGGAGGGGGAGGGGCCGGGGCCGCAAGGCCCCAGCACUCACCAGGCUCAAGGCAACCGAUCCCGGUGCCACCGCUGAAGUUAGCCCCUCGCUCGCCCGCCCGCCGUGCCACUCCCGCGCACAACCUCGAAGAGCUGGCCCGCGCCUCGGCGGUGCUCACCAGGCCUCGCUCUCCGCCGCCUCGCACCGAGCAGCGAGACUCAGCUCAGCCGGCGUUCGCAGUGCGCCUGCGUGCGGGGGCCGGCCCGAGCGCCUACGCGCGCCCCUCCGGCGCUUGUCGCAGAGGCUGCCGGGAGACGUAGUCUUGUAACGCUCUCUCGCCGGACAUUCCUAAUGACUGGAGCUAGAGAUUCGCUGGCCUUGAAGAAGCAAGCUGUCAUGUUGCGAACUGCCUAUGGAGAAAACUAAAUGGCAGGGAACUGCAGACGGCUUCUAGAACUUGAGCGCAGCCUGCAGCUGACAACCAGUAAGAAGCCAGGGCCCUCAGUCACACAACCACAAGGAAAUGAAUUCUGCCAACAACCUGAGAGGUGGCCUCCAGAUGAGAAGACAGCCUGACUUAAACCUUGAUAGCAGUUUUGUGAGACCCUGAGCAAAGAAAACAGAUAAACUGUGCGUAGACUCCUGGUCUACAGAAACUGUGAGAUAAUAAAUGUGUCUUAAGAUACUAUGUUUAUGGUAAUUUAUUAUACAAUAGAAAACUAAUACACUAGACAUUGCUGGAUUAUUUCAUAAAGUGAUUGUACCAAUUUGUACUCUAGAAACGGUAUAUAAGAUACUCUUCACUUGCUAACAGUUAGAAAUGUCUGGCUUUUUAAAUUUUUGCCAAUCUAACAUAUAAAUUACUUGAACAUAAAAACAUGAAAAAUAGAUAUUUACUUAGAAUUAUGCAUUCUGUUGUAUUUCUUUUCUGUUGCAUAAAUGCAAUUAAAUAAAAUAGCAGGCUGGGAACAGUGGCUCAUGCCUGUAAUCCCAGCACUUUGGGAGGCUGAGGCAGGAGGAUCACUUGAACCCAGGAGUUCCAGACCAGCCUGGGCAACAUAGCAAGACCCCCAUCUCAACACACAAAAAAAUUAGUCGGGCAUGGUGAGUCGCACCUGUAAUCCCAGCUAUUCAGGAGACUGAGGUGGGAGGAUCACUUGAGACCAGGAGUCUGAGCACACCACUGCACUUCAGCGUGGGUGGCAGAGCAAGAUAUUGUCUCAAAAAAAAAAAAAAAAAAGCAACUAGUAGUAAUAAAUAGAGAGACUAAUUAAGCAAAUAAUAUGUAUGAGAAAAAUGCAACAAUUUCAUAAGGUUUCUUUCUUUCCUCUGGUAUAGCAAUUUAGCUCUAUUGCAUAUUUGAAUUUUGUAGGCUAUAUCAUCCUAUAUUCUUGAGAUAAAUAAGUGUAAGAAUUUUUUAAAGAAUGUAUACAAUAGAACUAAUGAGAUAGAUAUUACCUAUAUUAAAUAAAAAAUAAUGACAUAUUUCUUUCUGUCCCAUGAUAGCUUGAGAUAUUUUUAUUCUUUCUGUUUCCUUUUCCAUUAGUACUUUUCUGAACUACUUGGGAUCUUUA
This 1956-nucleotide long non-coding RNA is filed under the name Homo sapiens (human). RNAcentral describes it as "HSALNT0314194". Lineage: Eukaryota; Metazoa; Chordata; Mammalia; Primates; Hominidae. The record is from RNAcentral.